GUUGUAAUCAGGAUGCACACAGAAACAGAGGAAAUUGUGAAAUUACGUAAGAGUUUGAAAGAAAUACAAGACUUAUAAAAAAAGAAAACAAACAAAAUCAAGCUAGUCGGAAACAACGAGGUUGUUGUCACCAUGAUAGUAGAAGUCGCCGUUUUUAGUUGGUAGAGCAACUUGUCUGAUAACGAGCUAGACCUUAGCCUACUAACUAGUUAGUACACUGGUUCUCUGUGCACGUUCAGGACACGGCUUCCAUUGCUUCUUUAUGGAGUAAUAUUGUCGUUAUCUAGCAGGUACGGUGCCAGUUUCUACUUCUUAGAGGGACAAACAGCUCAUUGAAGUCAUAUGGAAUUGAGCACUAAUAGGUCUGUAAUGCUAUUAGAUGUCCGGAGCCAAAAUAGAAUUGCUAGCGUGUUUCAGAACCUGGCGUGAAAGGGUUGGGUAAACUGUUUUAUCAGCAUCAUGGCUGGGGUCGGGAAACAAGGAAUUCCUCGUAAGUGCAAAUCAUAUUCUUGAGUUGAUUACAUCCCUACCCUUUAAACACACCACUCAUCUCUGCUCCCGAUUGAAUGGUUUAGUAAAGCCGUUGGAUUAACAUCGUUGCAAUAGCUCUGCAUCUCGACGGAUUCCUAGAACACUGUCUCAUUUGACUAUUUAGAUGAAUUAAUAGAAAGAUCAUUGCGAGAUAUUCUUACAUGUAUCUAUAUG
RNAcentral lists this non-coding RNA (705 nucleotides) under Trichobilharzia regenti. RNAcentral's name for it is "Eukaryotic small subunit ribosomal RNA". It matches the Rfam family "Eukaryotic small subunit ribosomal RNA", at positions 1227 to 1831 of the family's 1831-position model. The record is from Rfam by way of RNAcentral. Lineage: Eukaryota; Metazoa; Platyhelminthes; Trematoda; Strigeidida; Schistosomatidae.